GCUACGGGUGGCAGCAGUGGGGAAUAUUGCACAAUGGGGGAAACCCUGAUGCAGCGACGCCGCGUGAGUGAAGAAGUAAUUCGUUACGUAAAGCUCUAUCAGCAGGGAAGAAAAUGACGGUACCUGAGUAUGAAGCCCCGGCUAAAUACGUGCCAGCAGCCGCGGUAAUACGUAGGGGGCAAGCGUUCGGCGGAUUUACUGGGUGUAAGGGGAGCGUAGACGGUGGUGCAAGUCUGAGGUGAAAGCCCUAGGCUUAACUGCGGAGCUGCUUUGGAAACUGGCGAACUAGAGUGCGGGAGGGGUAAGCGGAAUUCCUAGUGUAGCGGUGAAAUGCGUAGAGAUUAGGAGGAACACCGGUGGCGAAGGCGGCUUACUGGACCGUAACUGACGUUGAUGCGCGAAAGCGUGGGGAGCAAACAGGAUUAGAUACCCCAGUAGUC
RNAcentral lists this ribosomal RNA (440 nucleotides) under uncultured bacterium. Its description in RNAcentral is "partial 16S ribosomal RNA". It matches the Rfam family "Bacterial small subunit ribosomal RNA", at positions 338 to 795 of the family's 1533-position model. The record is from RNAcentral.